Molecule: ribosomal RNA, 393 nt
Filed under: uncultured Lactobacillales bacterium
Lineage: Bacteria; Bacillati; Bacillota; Bacilli; Lactobacillales
Description: partial 16S ribosomal RNA
Rfam family: Bacterial small subunit ribosomal RNA
Source: RNAcentral
GAGGAACGCUGGCGGCGUGUUUAACAUUGCAAGAGGAAGGGAGAUUAUUGACGGAUUUUUUCGGAUGGAAAACGGGAAUCUUAGUGGCGGAAGGGUGAGUAACCCGCGGGUCACCUGCCCCGUACAUGGGGAUAGCAUCGGGAAACUGACGGGAAGACCGCAUAGGACCACAUAUUCCCUUGGAUAAGUGGUGAAAAGGGAAACCUGGUAUGGUAUCGACCCGCGUCCGAUUAGCCAGUUGGCCGGGUAAACGCCUACCAAAGCUUCGAUCGGUAGCCGGACUGUUUUGUCGGACGGCCACAUUGGUACUGGGACACGGCCCAGACUCCUACGGGAGUUUUUAUUGGGGGAUCUUGCACGUUGGAUGAAAGUCUCCUGCAGGGACGCCCCGUC